GGCCAGACUCCUACGGGAGGCAGCAGUGGGGAAUAUUGGGCAAUGGGCGCAAGCCUGACCCAGCAACGCCGCGUGAAGGAAGAAGGCCCUCGGGUUGUAAACUUCUUUUAUCAGGGACGAAACAAAUGACGGUACCUGAUGAAUAAGCCACGGCUAACUACGUGCCAGCAGCCGCGGUAAUACGUAGGUGGCAAGCGUUAUCCGGAUUUACUGGGUGUAAAGGGCGUGUAGGCGGGUCUGCAAGUCAGAUGUGAAAUCUCAUGGCUCAACCAUGGAACUGCAUUUGAAGCUGUUUCCCUUGAGUGUCGGAGAGGUAAUCGGAAUUCCUUGUGUAGCGGUGAAAUGCGUAGAUAUAAGGAAGAACACCAGUGGCGAAGGCGGAUUACUGGACGAUAACUGACGGUGAGGCGCGAAAGCGUGGGGAGCAAACAGGAUUAGAUACCCCGGUA
RNAcentral lists this ribosomal RNA (449 nucleotides) under uncultured bacterium. RNAcentral's name for it is "bacterial SSU rRNA". It matches the Rfam family "Bacterial small subunit ribosomal RNA", at positions 329 to 792 of the family's 1533-position model. The record is from RNAcentral.